AGAGUUUGAUCCUGGCUCAGAGCGAACGCUGGCGGCAGGCUUAACACAUGCAAGUCGAGCGGACCUUUCGGGGUCAGCGGCGGACGGGUGAGUAACGCGUGGGAACGUGCCUUCCGGUUCGGAAUAACCCUGGGAAACUAGGGCUAAUACCGGAUACGCCCUUAUGGGGAAAGGUUUACUGCCGGAAGAUCGGCCCGCGUCUGAUUAGCUAGUUGGUGGGGUAACGGCCUACCAAGGCGACGAUCAGUAGCUGGUCUGAGAGGAUGAUCAGCCACACUGGGACUGAGACACGGCCCAGACUCCUACGGGAGGCAGCAGUGGGGAAUAUUGGACAAUGGGCGCAAGCCUGAUCCAGCCAUGCCGCGUGAGUGAUGAAGGCCUUAGGGUUGUAAAGCUCUUUUAUCCGGGACGA
This 412-nucleotide ribosomal RNA is filed under the name Methylobacterium oryzae. RNAcentral describes it as "bacterial SSU rRNA". It matches the Rfam family "Bacterial small subunit ribosomal RNA", at positions 8 to 448 of the family's 1533-position model. Lineage: Bacteria; Pseudomonadati; Pseudomonadota; Alphaproteobacteria; Hyphomicrobiales; Methylobacteriaceae. The record is from RNAcentral.